GAUGAACGCUGGCGGCGUGCCUCAAACAUGCAAGUCGAGCGGGGCUAUGUUGGACCGUAAGGGAAGAUAUAGCCUAGCGGCGAACGGGUGAGUAACACGUGGGUAACCUACCUGGAAGACAGGGAUAACGAUUCGAAAGGGUCGCUAAUACCUGAUAAUAUCUAACAGCCGGAUGGCAGUUAGAAGAAAGGGGAAACCCGCUUUCAGAUGGGCCCGCGUCCCAUCAGCUAGUUGGUAAGGUAAAGGCUUACCAAGGCGACGACGGGUAGCCGGUCUGAGAGGAUGUACGGCCACACUGGGACUGAGAUACGGCCCAGACUCCUACGGGAGGCAGCAGUUGGGAAUCUUAGGCAAUGGGCGAAAGCCUGACCUAGCGACGCCGCGUGAGGGAAGAAGGCCUUCGGGUCGUAAACCUCUGUCAUGGGGGACGAAGGAAGUGACGGUACCCCAAGGAGGAAGCCCCUAGCUAACUACGUG
Molecule: ribosomal RNA, 477 nt
Filed under: uncultured bacterium
Lineage: Bacteria
Description: bacterial SSU rRNA
Rfam family: Bacterial small subunit ribosomal RNA
Source: RNAcentral